CCUGAACGCUGGCGGCGUGGCUAAGACAUGCAAGUCGCACGGACGUAGCAAUACGUUAGUGGCGAACGGGUGAGUAAUGAAUCGCUAAUGUGCCCCGGACUUUGGGAUAGCUAUCCGAAAGGAUAGGUAAUACCAGAUGAUAUAACUUUGUCGCAUGACAGAGUCCUCAAAGGUCCGCCGGUCUGGGAGCAGGCGAUUUCGUAUCAGCUAGUUGGUGAGGAACGGCUCACCAAGGCGAUGACGCGUAGCCGGACUGAGAGGUUGGCCGGCCACAUUGGGACUGAGACACUGCCCAGACUCCUACGGGGGGCUGCAGUAACGAAUCUUCCGCAAUGGGCGAAAGCCUGACGGAGCGACGCCGCGUGUAGGAGAAGCCCUUCGGGGUGUAAACUACUGUCAGGGGUUAGAAAGUUCUGAUCAACCCC
Molecule: ribosomal RNA, 425 nt
Filed under: uncultured bacterium
Lineage: Bacteria
Description: bacterial SSU rRNA
Rfam family: Bacterial small subunit ribosomal RNA
Source: RNAcentral